AGGAGUUUGGUAAUAGAUCUACAAGUGAAAUUUUUUGGAUUUGUGAAUGUAGUUGUGUUUAAUGUGUGCAAAAAAUUUGAACUUAAUCGAAGUAUUGGAUUGAGGAUUAUUGAUGUUUAAGUGGAUAAAGAUCUCAAAAUUUAAGGUUUUGAUGACGUGUGAGAUUAUCUUAGAUAUCUGUCACUCUACUAGUUAGAUUGAGUCAAUUAUUUUUUAAAAAUGUAGCUAGCUUAAUUUCUAACAAGUAUGUAGAAUUUUAAGAUCAAUUAAAUUGUUUGAUAAGGAGAUAUUGUUGUUAGAAAAUCAAAAUUUAGAUUGAAGAAGGAGGCUGGCCAACAUUUGAGUAGAUUUUUGGAUUGAACUUCUUUUUGGUGAGUUCGAUCUUCUUCAAAAGAUUUUUGUUUGUUGUUAAUUUAAUUUUUAAGAGGUAUGAAAAUUUUGAGUUAAAAUCAACGGCUCAUUAAUUAGUUAUUGAGGUUUAUUCUACUAUAGGAAUUACUUGGAAUUAUUUAAGGUUUGGUUAGGGUUUAAUUUAGGAUUUAGAAUUUGAUUAGAGUUUAGUUUAGGAUUUAGAGUUUUGAUAAGAUUUGGUUUAGGAUUUAGGAUUUGAAUUAGGAUUUAGAGUUUGGUUAGAAUUUAGUUUAGGAUUUAGAGUUUGGUUAGAUUUUGGUUUAGGAUUUAAGAUUUGAUUAGAGUUUAAUUUAGGAUUUAGGAUUUGAUUAGGAUUUGAUUUAGAGUUUAGGAUUUAAGAUUUGGUUAGGAUUUGGUUUAGGAUUUAUGAUUUGAUUAGGAUUUGAUUUAGAGUUUAGGAUUUAGGAUUUGGAUAGGAUUUGAUUUAGGAUUUAGGAUUUGGAUUAAGGUUUAGGAUUUAGAUUAGGAUUUAGGAUUUGAUUAGGAUUUGAUAUAGAGUUUAGGAGUUGAUUAGAAUUUGAUUAGGAUUUUUUUAGGAUUUUUUUAGGAUUUGAUUUAGAGUUUAGGGAUUGAUUAGAAUUUUAUUAGGAUUUAUUUAGGAUUUAUUUAGGAUUUCAUGAGGAUUUAUUUAGGUUUUGACUAGGAUUUAAUUAAGUUUUUUAUUUUAAUAUUUUAUAAAGAUUUCUAUUUUAGUAUAUUUUAAAUUUCUAUGUUAUUUCUUUAUGAUUUCUUUAAAGGGUCUCUAGGAAUUCUUUGUAUUUCUAAUAUAAUUCUUUUUAAAAUUUUAAUGUUUGAUUAUAUUUUCUAAUUUUUAAUUGUAAUUGGUUUAAGAAUCUAUUAGAGUUGUUAGGACUGGUUGCAAUUUUCCUAUAUCUUCUAUAGCCAGGUGCCCGAUGCAUUUUCAAGCAAACCUUCACAUAAUAUGACAACACGUUCUAUAUCAACAUAUGCUUCAAAUUUUCAGCAAUUAGUAUUUGAUAUAAAUUGAAGGGAAGAUGUGUUGAUGAGCCAAUUUCAUUGGAGAUUAAGAGAUAAUGUCAAGGACUUAUUGUUGUCUAUGUGUGAUCCUCAAAUACUCAAUGAAGCCAUAAGUGAAGCUAUGAAGUACGAUAACUAUUUAUUUCAUCAAUGAUAAGAUAAACAUUCUUCAAUUACACCACAU
RNAcentral lists this long non-coding RNA (1573 nucleotides) under Physcomitrium patens. RNAcentral describes it as "long non-coding RNA (PPAT_LNC011850)". The record is from RNAcentral. Lineage: Eukaryota; Viridiplantae; Streptophyta; Bryopsida; Funariales; Funariaceae.